RNAcentral lists this long non-coding RNA (715 nucleotides) under Manihot esculenta (cassava). RNAcentral describes it as "long non-coding RNA (MESC_LNC008116)". Lineage: Eukaryota; Viridiplantae; Streptophyta; Magnoliopsida; Malpighiales; Euphorbiaceae. The record is from RNAcentral.
CCUCCUUUGGCACUCACGAUGGAUUCUCAUUUUUCUCUUUCCUCUGAUUAUAUAUAUGUAGGACCAAAUGCACAGUAGACACAGUGCAGCCCUCGUCCACCCAUCAAUGGCUACUUAGCUUUUUCAGCUACCCCAAUGGACCCACCUCCCCAUUACGGCUGCUCCUCCCCUCACCGGCAACGCGUGCUCCCAUGUCACUCUCUCUCAAGGCCCUUCACUUUGUUCUAAAUUCUAGUGGUGCAUUAUUUUAGAUUCUUCAAAGAAAGAGAGAGAGAAAAACAGUAAUGAGUUCUCAUAUAAGGCCUACAUGCAUGUGAAGUUGAUCAUAUUUCUUGAUAAGCACGAGCAGACAUGGAUUUAAUUUUUUUUCUUUUCUUUUUUGUUUCAAGUAUAUUUUGUCUCUUUAUAUUAUACUACACAUGACUAAUAUCUAUAUAAUUAUUCGUAAUCAGAUCCAAUUUUAUGGUCGAAACAUAACAGUGACAAAGAAAUCCAGCUCAUUCUCUCUGUCCAAGCAGAAAGAAAAGAGAUCUAGGUUACCUAUAUCCAAAUCAUACAUAUUUCUUGAGGGAUUCAUAAGCAAGUACAUUUAAUCUGUACCGUAUAUUUCUUGGAUAAUUUUCAUUUAUUUCUUAGUAGAUUUUCUUGGUUCCUCCUGCUCACAUGCCCUAGUUACUGCUAUAAUCAUUAUCAUAUGCUGAGGCAUAUUAAUUAG